Molecule: ribosomal RNA, 512 nt
Filed under: uncultured bacterium
Lineage: Bacteria
Description: partial 16S ribosomal RNA
Rfam family: Bacterial small subunit ribosomal RNA
Source: RNAcentral
GAUGAACGCUGGCGGCGUGCCUAAUACAUGCAAGUCGAACGAAACUUCUUUAUCACCGAGUGCUUGCACUCACCGAUAAAGGGUUUAGUGCCGAACGGGUGAGUAACACGUGGGCAACCUGCCCAAAAGAGGGGGAUAACACUUGGAAACAGGUGCUAAUACCGCAUAACCAUAGUUACCUCAUGGUAACUAUGUAAAAGGUGGCUAUACUACCUCUUUUGGAUGGGCCCGCGGGGCAUUAGGUAGUUGGGAGGGUAAAAGGUUAACAAGGCGAUGGUCCGUUGGCCGAAUGGGAGGGUGAACGGCCCAAAUGGGACCGGAAAAAGGGCCAAAACCCUAAGGGAGGGAGGAGUGGGGAAUUUUGGACAAUGGGGGAAAGCCUGAAGGAGCCAAGCCGCGUGGGGGAUGAAGGGUCUUGGGUUGUAAAAACCCUUUGUUCGGAAAGAAAAGCCGGUGUCAGAAAAAGAGGGGUUUUGAAGGUAACGUAAGAAGAAGCCCCGGCUAACUACGUG